GCCUGGUUGACUCAGUCGGUUAAGCAUCUGACUUCGGCUCAGGUCAUGAUCUCACAGUUUGUGAGUUCGAGCCCCACAUCAGGCU
This 85-nucleotide transfer RNA is filed under the name Felis catus (domestic cat). It matches the Rfam family "tRNA". Rfam says of the family: Transfer RNA (tRNA) molecules are approximately 80 nucleotides in length. Their secondary structure includes four short double-helical elements and three loops (D, anti-codon, and T loops). The record is from Rfam by way of RNAcentral. Lineage: Eukaryota; Metazoa; Chordata; Mammalia; Carnivora; Felidae.